CCUGACGACCAUAGCAAGGUGGUCCCACCCCUUCCCUUCCCGAACAGGACCGUGAAACACCUUUGCGCCGAUGAUAGUGGAUGUACAUCUGUGAAAGUAGGUCAUCGUCAGGC
Bordetella ansorpii is the source of this 113-nucleotide ribosomal RNA. The record is from Rfam. NCBI's taxonomy places the organism in Bacteria, Pseudomonadati, Pseudomonadota, Betaproteobacteria, Burkholderiales, Alcaligenaceae.